UACGGAGGGUGCAAGCGUUAUCCGGAAUCACUGGGUUUAAAGGGUGCGUAGGCGGUACCAUAAGUCAGUCGUGAAAUCUCUUGGCUCAACCAAUGAAAUUGCGAUUGAUACUGUGGUACUUGAAUCAGGUUGAGGUAGGCGGAAUGUGACAUGUAGCGGUGAAAUGCUUAGAUAUGUCAUAGAACACCGAUUGCGAAGGCAGCUUGCUGGACCUGUAUUGACGCUGAGGCACGAAAGCGUGGGGAGCAAACAGG
This 254-nucleotide ribosomal RNA is filed under the name uncultured bacterium. RNAcentral describes it as "partial 16S ribosomal RNA". It matches the Rfam family "Bacterial small subunit ribosomal RNA", at positions 524 to 776 of the family's 1533-position model. The record is from RNAcentral.